GAACGACGCUGGCGGCGCGUCUUAAACAUGCAAGUCGAACGAUCUGUAGCAAUACGAGGGAGUGGCGGGACGGGUGAGGAACACGUAGGAAUCUACCUAGAAGAGCGGGACAACCUUGGGAAACCGGGGCUAAUACCGCAUAGUACAGUGAUGUUAAAGGGCUAGCAAUAGUCGCUUCUAGAUGAGCCUGCGGUCUAUCAGCUUGUUGGCGGGGUAACGGCCCACCAAGGCUACGACGGAUAGCCGGUCUGAGAGGAUGAUCGGCCACACUGGCACUGAGACACGGGCCAGACUCCUACGGGAGGCAGCAGUUAAGAAUCUUGCGCAAUGGACGAAAGUCUGACGCAGCGACGCCGCGUGAAGGAUGAAGGCUUUCGGGUUGUAAACUUCGGUAGACUGGGAAGAAAAAGUAAGUUCGUUGAGGGCUUACAUUGACGGUACCAGUCUGAAGCCCCGGCUAAUUACGUG
Molecule: ribosomal RNA, 468 nt
Filed under: uncultured bacterium
Lineage: Bacteria
Description: bacterial SSU rRNA
Rfam family: Bacterial small subunit ribosomal RNA
Source: RNAcentral